GAUGAACGCUGGCGGCGUGCUUAACACAUGCAAGUCGAACGGAAAGGCCCAAGCUUGCUUGGGUACUCGAGUGGCGAACGGGUGAGUAACACGUGGGUGAUCUGCCCUGCACUUCGGGAUAAGCCUGGGAAACUGGGUCUAAUACCGGAUAGGACGAUGGUUUGGAUGCCAUUGUGGAAAGUUUUUUCGGUGUGGGAUGAGCUCGCGGCCUAUCAGCUUGUUGGUGGGGUAAUGGCCUACCAAGGCGUCGACGGGUAGCCGGCCUGAGAGGGUGUACGGCCACAUUGGGACGGAGAUACGGCCCAGACUCCUACGGGAGGCAGCAGUGGGGAAUAUUGCACAAUGGGCGCAAGCCUGAGGCAGCGACGCCGCGUGGGGGAUGACGGCCUUCGGGUUGUAAACUCCUUUCGCUAGGGACGAAGCGUUUUUGUGACGGUACCUGGAGAAGAAGCACCGGCUAACUACGUG
RNAcentral lists this ribosomal RNA (468 nucleotides) under uncultured bacterium. Its description in RNAcentral is "partial 16S ribosomal RNA". It matches the Rfam family "Bacterial small subunit ribosomal RNA", at positions 28 to 507 of the family's 1533-position model. The record is from RNAcentral.